GGAGAGGUGGCUGAGUGGUUUAAAGCGACUGAUUGCUAAUCCGUUAUAUAUGUAUUUAUAUCGAGGGUUCGAAUCCCUCUCUCUCUA
This 87-nucleotide transfer RNA is filed under the name Gymnochlora stellata. Its description in RNAcentral is "tRNA-Ser". It matches the Rfam family "tRNA". From Rfam's summary of the family: Transfer RNA (tRNA) molecules are approximately 80 nucleotides in length. Their secondary structure includes four short double-helical elements and three loops (D, anti-codon, and T loops). Lineage: Eukaryota; Cercozoa; Chlorarachniophyceae. The record is from RNAcentral.